Molecule: ribosomal RNA, 229 nt
Filed under: uncultured bacterium
Lineage: Bacteria
Description: partial 16S ribosomal RNA
Rfam family: Bacterial small subunit ribosomal RNA
Source: RNAcentral
CACGUAGUCGGCUUGUCAAGUCGGGUGUGAAAUCCCCGGGCUCAACCUGGGAACUGCAUCCGAAACUGACUUGCUAGAGUAUGGGAGAGGGAGGCGGAAUUUCUGGUGUAGCAGUGAAAUGCGUAGAUAUCAGAAGGAACAUCAGUGGCGAAGGCGGCCUCCUGGACAAAUACUGACGAUCAGGUGCGAAAGCGUGGGGAGCAAACAGGAUUAGAUACCCUGGUAGUCC